UAUGUGAUCGUCUCUCGCAUAUCAAUAAGCGGAGGAAAAGAAACUAACAAGGAUUCCCCUAGUAACGGCGAGUGAAGCGGGAAGAGCUCAAAUUUGAAGUCUUAAAGGGUUUCCCUUUACGAAUUGUAGUUUAAAGAAGUGUUUUCUGUUGAGGUUUUGGUAAAAGUUCUUUGGAAUAGGACAUCAUAGAGGGUGAGAAUCCCGUAUUUGACCUUUACUUUCAACUUUGUGAUACACUUUCAAAGAGUCGGAUUGUUUGGGAAUGCAGUCCAAAAUGGGUGGUAAAUUUCAUCUAAAGCUAAAUAUUGGCGAGAGACCGAUAGCGAACAAGUACCGUGAGGGAAAGAUGAAAAGAACUUUGAAAAGAGAGUUAAACAGUACGUGAAAUUGUCAAAAGGGAAGCGUUUGACACCAGUGUUGUUUUUCUGAAAAUCAAUUAAAGAACUGUUUAUGCUAAGUUGUUUAGACUUUAUCAGCUAACUGUUUAGUUUUGAGCUUUUCUUUAAUGCACUUUUCAGUUAACAAGUCAACAUCAAUUUCUUUUGCUGUAAAAAAGCUUGAGGAAGGUGGCUUGAGAUUCGUCUUAAGUGUUUAUAGCCUCUUGCCUAUGCAGUCGGAGAGAUUGAGGUCUGCAGCGUAGAUCCUUCGGGGCUAAAUGCAUUUGUGCUAAGUUAUAGCAUUUUAUAGACAACUUGUUGACUAUGAUUUGUCUUGUAGCUUACUUGCUUAUGUUAUUUUACCUACGCUUAGGAUGUUGAGUAGCGACAUACGCAC
RNAcentral lists this ribosomal RNA (774 nucleotides) under uncultured Neocallimastigales. RNAcentral describes it as "partial large subunit ribosomal RNA". It matches the Rfam family "Eukaryotic large subunit ribosomal RNA", at positions 24 to 649 of the family's 3401-position model. Lineage: Eukaryota; Fungi; Neocallimastigomycota; Neocallimastigomycetes; Neocallimastigales. The record is from RNAcentral.